This is a long non-coding RNA of Megalops cyprinoides (Indo-Pacific tarpon), 565 nucleotides long. RefSeq lists it as uncharacterized. The transcript has 3 exons. The record is from RefSeq and is a predicted model, not a curated record. NCBI's taxonomy places the organism in Eukaryota, Metazoa, Chordata, Actinopteri, Elopiformes, Megalopidae.
CAGGAAAGAAAGGAGUUGUCUUUAAGGCAGUGUGGGAGUGGAUUCUUGAAGCAGCAGUGGAUGUGACUCUGGACCCUGAUACAGCAAACCCCUAUCUCAACCUGUCUGAGGAUGGAAAACAAGUGAGAGAUAGAGACACACCACAGAAUGUCCCUAACACCCCAAAGAGGUUCUAUCCUGCUAUAAAUGUCCUGGGAAAGGAGGGUUUCUCCUCAGGGAGAUCUUACUAUGAGGUGCAGGUUGGGGAGAAGCCUGACUGGGAUUUAGGAGUGGCUAAAGAGUCUGUCAACAGGAAGGGGCAGAUUGCACUGAGACCUGGGAAUGGAUACUGGAGCAUAUGGCUGAGGAAUGGGACUGAGUACAGGGCUUUAGCUGGACCCUCUGUCUCCCUCCCCCUGAGAGAGAAGCCCAGGACAGUGGGGGUGUAUGUGGAUUAUGAGGGGGGUCAGGUCUCUUUUUACAAUGUGGAGGCCAGGUCUCAUAUCUACUCAUACUACACCGGUUACACCUUCACUGAGAAACUCUAUCCAUACUUUAGCCCGAGUCUCAGUAAAAAUGGCACAAA